Long non-coding RNA from Octopus bimaculoides (California two-spot octopus), 16516 nucleotides. RefSeq lists it as uncharacterized. Lineage: Eukaryota; Metazoa; Mollusca; Cephalopoda; Octopoda; Octopodidae. The record is from RefSeq and is a predicted model, not a curated record.
AAUCCACUCCAACAAUCAGAAUGGAUAGUUCUUGGUUUUAUAUACUUUCUGAUAAGAGAGAGCAGAGUUUUGGAGAAACACUUCCUUCUCCUUUAGAAAUAAAUAUGCAGCAUCCUGUAUGUCCGCGUUUGUGAUGGGUCUUUCACAACACUCCACCUCUCUUGCCGAGAGUUGUGGCAGGCCAUGCAGGUAGGCACUAAAGUCCACCCUGCAUUCUGAUCCACCAGUUGUCCUGAACAGUCAUGCAAAGUGUUGUUGAAAGGCCCUUGUUCAUCUGUCAGAGACUUUGUUGCUUCGUUGUGCCUCCACCUCUCAGGCAGCUCCAACUCCUUCGUUCCUCAGAGCACACAUCAUAGCUCUGACAACGCAUCCUUCAUGUUUAACAUUGAAGUGUUGGUCGAGGGCCAACCUUGCCACCAGUACGUUGGACAUGAUGCCAGUUCUAAGUGCCCCUUCUAAUUUCUUAACUCAGCCUCCCUCUAUUCUAUUUCGGUCUAAUACUAGAGCCUUACUAUACCUAACCAAUUCUGCUUUAAUUGCUUUCUUUAGGGCAUACCACCACCUAUUGUUGAUGGUGCCCGUCAAUGCUCUCUUUACUAAUGUGCUAAUCCAGUCCCUGUAAGCCUGGCGUGCCGUGAACGACGUGUUCAGCUUCCAGUAACCGGGACCCUGCCUGUGGCUCUUAUCUAAGUCAAGCAUACAAGUCACAAAUUUGUGAUCUGUGUAGCUGACUAUAUGGGAUAUCCCUAUCCACUGUCCUACAGAAUACUCUAUCUAAACACAAUCUGGACGACCCGAUGAGGUUGCUCCAUGUCCACAUUGGUACAUUUGGGUGGUCCAGUUGGAAACGUCUGGGCAAAUCUUUGAGGCAUUUACAUCCCCUUCUAUUACUAUCUCUGCCCAUGUAGUCUAGAUGCGUGUCCAAGGUAGCAUUCCAAUCCCUCACUAAAAGUAAAGAUUGAGACUUUCCCAGGAAAACCUCUAGGCGUCAAAAGAAACCCGGUUGACCUGUUAAGGACGGUACAUAAGUUAUCAGUCGAAAAGCAUACCCAUUACUGCCAUCAACAUCCAUGACGACCAGCCUACCCUCAGGUUCUAGGAAUAUUGCUCUUAUUUUGAGGUCCAGAUUCUUCCGAAGAAGCACUGCAGUACCGGAGUCUGGUCCCACUGAUGGCUAUGAUAUGCAUGUUCUGUGACUUGAUGUCAUUUAACAGGUAGCCUUGUUUCCAAGGCGACCCCAAGCCACGUACAUUUAUACAACUUAUUCUGAGCAUGUUCCUAUCGAAAGUUGUGUUGGUGACAGUGGGGAUGUGGUGUUUGGGUUUUUUGUGGUGGGUAAUGAGUCUUUUCGUUUUUCAGUUCUUCCUUUGGAGUUGUUGCUGUUGGUGGUGGUGAUAGUGUUGUUUCUGUUCUUGGUGGUGUAGGCAACGUCAUUUCAACUCUCAUUACAAAGCGCUUAUUUCCCUUCAACCAGAUUUUGAAGCUUCAUUCAUCUCUUCAUUCUCUCCCUUCAUUAUAUUGUUUUGCUGACUGACUAAAUUGUACAUAUUAUACAUAAUCAAUAAAGUGUGUUAUUGUUCGGACGCUUUUCUUGUUCCUGAAUAAAUUGAUGUAAGGAAAUUGUGUAGCACUCACUCAGUGCAAGAAUACACAAGCCGAAAAUCCUACACUACUUUUAUUUGGUCAUCUGUUCUAAACCAGGACUCUGCUGGUCAGGUUGCUCUGGAUGCAGCUGCCUAUAAAACUUCUCUGCCUGGGUUCUGAUAAUGGCACCUGACAGUGGGGUGCUGCCAUUCUACUCCUGGACAAACCAGGUGAAAACUGCUUUCUCAAGUUAACUGUCAGUGGCAGUCCUGGCCUUCUUCCUAGCUAAGCCCUCGCUGUCCACAACUGUAUUUACAUAAUUUGUGAGGUUAGCCUCAUCCUUAACCCAACCAUGCAGGGUGGACUCUGGAAUGCCAGUCUCUCUUGAUAGUUUGACUUUGAAUCCAUCAUUUCGUAUACUGUCAACCAGAUCUAACUUUUCCAUUACAGAAUAGGAUUUCCUCUUAGGCAUUGUGUUUUCAUACGGCAAAUUUAAAAAAAAAAUAUCUGCAAGGUAGCUUGAAAUUGUAAUGAAUGAAGUGGAAUAUGGUCUCUCUUUAUAUAAAUUGUACCUCCAGGGUGUUAAUUACUUCCUUUAAGUAUUAAUCUGUUUGACUCAUUUGAAGCCUUUGAUUGGCAGAAGCUUCCUCAAACAAUCCAAUCAAAUCAUGGAAAACAAACUGUCAAAAGUGUUCACUGGUCAAAAAGGUGUUGUUUUCAUCACAAAAUCAAAGAAAUUAUGCACACAAAACAUGUAAUUAGCACCCAGUUAUAUGGCAAUAUUUUCAAGCUGUUCAUUAAGGUAUGUAUGUAUUUUGUUGAAAUUUGCUGAAAUUCUGCUUUUAAUCAAGGUUUUUGCUGAGGGAAAUUCUGCUUCAAAUUAUUAGGGGUCCAUCAAACCACCCAUGUUAUAUGCAGGGACGUGGUAUAGCGAGAUGCCUUAUAAAGAGGGAGCACUGUACUAACUUGAAAUUAGAUCAAAGGUUGAUUUAAGUGAAGGUUGGACAAGUCAUUAAAGUUACACCUGAAAAAGAGAGUGACCUAACAUGAAGAAAUUCUUGAUAAACAAGCUACUAAAAACUAACCUUCAUUAAUUAAUUGUUGAGGUGUUCAGCUUUUCCUCAUUAGUCUACACUGAAGACUAAUUAGUCAACUUUUCCUCAUCAGUCUACACUAAAGACUAAAUAGUUUUAUAUAUUAAAUUGAUUAAAUACUUAUAAAAUUACUGCUGCAUUAUUUUUAUUUGCAUGCAGCAAUAUAAGUCACCUUUGGAAGAGAAUGUUUUACAACUGAUAUCACAGUAAUAUGAUUCCUUUCCUGUCACAAUACAUUUGUGGUAAGAUUAAUCAACCAUUCACAAUGAAUGUUUUACAAUAUUACAGAAAUAAUUACUGUCAUUUAAUUGUGUAUCAUUGAUCAAUUGAAUGACACCUCUGCAGACAGCACGUUUAUUACAACUGGAGUGUUUUAUAGCAGACUUAUUUUAUUACAAAUUUCAUAGUUGCUCAAUUUCAGAAUAGUGCCAAGUAAUUUAUGUUAAAUGCUGCAGCUAGUUUGUAUGAAUCUUUUAAUAUAGACAUUAUUCUCUAUAUAUACUUGUGUAUAAGGAUAUAAAUCACUAUUUUCAGACUGGAUUUCACUAUAAACCUUUUUCACUCUCUUCUUUAUAGCAGGUUGUAAUGAAAGUUUUGUCCAUUUUUUAAGGCUUAAUAACCCCCCCCCCCCAAAAAAAAAGCAAUAUCUGAUUUUAUUUAAUCUUUAAUAUAGUCACCAUUCUUUAUGACUUCUUUCCAUUUGUCAAUGAGAAGUGAAAAAGGAAAUUAACCCAUUUUUGACUUCUGCUCUUGAAGUAAGUCUUCAUCCACUCAAAUGAUUUUGUAAACUUCUAAUCUGUAAGUACGAGGUCCAGAGAACAUGGUGGGCACUGCAUAAUUUUCCAAGCAUAUUCUUCUAGAUAUCUGGCACUCUUGUGCAGCGUGAUGUUUAGUGUUAUCAUGAUGACAGAUGACUCCUUUUCUGUUCGUUAAUGGACAUUUUUGCUACAAAGCUAUUUUCAGACAUCUUAGCUAUUGGCAGUAUACAUUGGCUGUUAUUGUAUGAUUAUUGUCUAGCAGCUUUUGAUGAAUUAUUCCAUGCAUAUCUUACCAUACACUCAGAAGAAUCUUCCUUGGAUGCUGGUCACUUCUGGGCUGCUGAGCUACCUUUUCACUACGACAGAGCUACUAACAUUUUUGCUUAACAUGGCAAGGUAUCCAUUCUUCAUUUCCUAUAAUGACUUUGUUCAAAAAAGGCAUUUGCAAUUCAUGAGAUUGCUGUGAUGCACAACAGUCAACACGUUUAUAAUUGUCUGCAGAGAGAUCAUGUGGAACCCAUUUUCCAACCUUUUACACUUUACCAAACCUUUUCAAUUCAGGAUGAAUGGUAGUACCUUUCCAUGUUCCUGUAUGGUGGAUCAAGGUGUAUUAAUUCUUUGGGACAAUUCUUUCAUACUUUGAUGUGGAUCCUCUUCAACUGCAGCUUUCAAGGUGCCAUCGUCCAGAACAAUAGGUCUUCCUGAUUAAUGCCCACCAGAAAGAUCAAAAUCACCUUAAAUUUUGAAAAUCUCUGACAUUUUCAACCGCUUACUCCAUCAGGAUAAACACUGCAUAUGUUUUUGUUGCAGUGUUGCCUUUAUGAAAUUCAUACAGCAUGCAAUGCUGAAUGUGACCUUAAAAUUUUUGUUCAUCCAUGGGUUAUCUGAAAUGGAGAAAAUGAAAUUAUGACUUUAAUCAAUCAGAGGAACAGCUCAGCUGAUGCCUAGACUGAAGAAAUAACUUUUUUGUUUUCACCAUGUUUAUUUUCUUAAACAUGCAACAUUACUUUCCAGAAUAAUAUACAUGUUACUUUGUAAUAUCUAAAAAAGGGAAAAUGUCUUUGAAAAUAUCUCAAUAAAUUUUUCAUUGGGAUGCUUUGAAAUAUUUCAGUUCCUUUUAAUUUCACCUAAAAAAAAAAAAAAUUUGAUUUUGUUUGGGAUUCUAAAUCAGCAAGAAUUGUUACCUUUAUCAAUUAUUGCUGUUAAUCCUGACAUGGGUUUGGAGGAUCUGUUAUACUUAAUUCUUCUAUGUGUCCCGACCAUGACAUUACUUGCUGUUUUCUCUUUAUUAAACACUGGCAAUUAGCAUGGCCAUAUUGCAAGUGUCAGGUGUAAAUAAAGAAUAAACAAGUUCCAGUCAUCAAUUUCUCUUUCAGACAACAUUGUCCAUCUUUGGAUUGGUGUCACAAGUUAUAUCACUUCGAUGUGUAGUCUAUGGUGGUGCCGUAUCGGGUUCCAUGAUGGCUUUCUUGAGCCGAUUGAUACUAACAGUAUUCUGUUUACCAUUUACAUCGACAACGAAGUAUUUCUCCCGUUUUUGCAGUACUUUGUAAGGGCCGGAAUACGGUGGGCAGAUUUGUGCUGGUAUUCCGUCAUUUCUAACAAACACGUGUGUCCAUUGAUUAAUGUCCGUGGGGACAUGUGUAUCAGUUUCCUGCGGGCGAGGUGGGUUUGGUGACAGCUGUGAUAUAUGUGCACGUAGGCGAUGCACAUAUGUUGUGGGAUCUGGGAUAUCCUGUAGAAUUACUGGAGCAAUCAUUUGUCCAGGCAGGGUUAAUGUGGUGCCGUAAACGAUUUUUGCCGGUGAGUAUCCGCUCUCAUCCUUGAUGGAUGUACGGAUACCAAGCAGGAUUAAUGGAAGGAAGUCUAUCCAAUUGUUUAUGUCAGAGUAUGCCCGUAUGGCUGAUUUCAGUUGCCUGUGGAAUCUCUCCACCAUGCUGUUUGCCGCCGGAUGGUAUGCUGUAGUGCGAAAGUGUUUGGAACCGAUGAGUCGAGUAAGCUCGCUGAAAAGGUGGCAGUCAAAUUGUCUUCCUCUGUCUGUCGUGAUGAUAGCAGGGAUACCAAAACACGAUACCCAGUGUGAUAUCAGCGCUUUAGCCACGGUUUCUGCUGUGGUAUCAGAGAGAGGGAAAGCUUUAGGCCAUCGUGAAAAGCGGUCGAUACAAGUGAGGAGAUGUGUAUAGUUGUGAGACGGAGGUAGAGGUCCAACGAUGUCUAUGUGGAUGUGUUGGAAACUACUGUCUGGUGCUGUAAAAUUACCAAAGGGUGACUUGACGUGUCUGUGUACUUUUGCCUAUUGACAUGCAAUGCAACUUUUAACCCAGUCGCAGAUGUCUUUAUUGAUGUUCGUCCACACAAAGCGAGUUGCUAUCAUCUUCUGUGUGGGACGAACGCCAGGAUGUGACAAACCGUGUAAGGCAGUGAAAAUUUUCCGUCUGUGUUGUUCGGGGACAUAUGGAUGCUUGUGUCCUGUGGAAACAUCACACCAUAUUUGACCAGUUGAAGAAGAUAGUGGGCAGAGUUGGAAUUUGAGGGACGAUGAAUUUCGUAACUUACUAAGUUCUUCGUCAAACUCUUGGUCCGUUGCGAUCUGCUGUAAGUCAAUUGGUUCGGAAGUAUGCAGUGCAUUAAGAUGGGCGCGGGACAAGGUGUAUGCGGCCGUGUUAUCGGAACCUUUAACAUACCGAAUGUCGGUUGAAUAUUGAGAGAUAAAAUCAAGGUGACAGAUUUCUCUCAAAGAAUGUUGGUCAUUCUUCGUUUUAAAAGCAUAAACCAGUAGUUUGUGAUCCGUGUAGAUGCUGAAGGCAGUCCCUUCAAGCAUAUGGCGAAAAUGUUUAACAGAAAGGUAUGCGGUGAGUAGUUCUCGUUCGAAAGUGCUGUAUUUAACUUCUGCGUGCUAAGGAUAGUGGUUGCCAAAUUCCAUCCACAAACUGUUGCAGGAUGCCGCCAAUUCCAGUCUGAGAGGCGUCGACCAGUAAUGUGAAUGGAGCAUCAGGUUUGGGAUGAACUAGCAUUGUAGCUGUAGCUAGCAUAUCCUUUAGCUUGUUGAAGGAGGCUAGUUGUGUGUCACAUAAUGUAAUUGCUUACUUCUUCUUUUUCGCCAGUCUGUUGCGCAGGACUUCGGUAAGCGGUUGAGCUGCUUCGGCGCAGUGUGGAAAGAAACAACGGUAGAAAUUCACCAGUCUCAAAAAUUCACAGAGUUUCCAAAGAGAUGUUGGGAUAGGAAAAUUCACUAUGGUUUCCACUUUGUCAGGCAGACGACGAAUUCCAUCUUUGUCAACGAUGUACCCGAGGAAAGGCAGAGAUGAGACACCGAAAAUGCAUUUACUUGUGUUAAUGUCUAUGCCAUAAUGAGUCAGUCGCUGGAAAAGUUGUUGGAGGUGAUCUUCGUGUUCGGCCUCAGAGACACUCGCUACUAGCAUAUCAUCGAUAUAUGCGUAGACGAAGGGUAAACCUCUUGUGACAGUGUCGAUGAAACGCUGAAAUGUUUGCGCUGCAUUACGUAAUCCAAACGGCAUUCGCAAGGAUAUGCACCAAAAGGAAUGGCAAUUGUGGUUUUGGGGACAUCGGCCGGUUCAACGGGUAUUUGAUUGUAGGCCCGAAUUAAAUCCUGACCUUUUCUGGAACUGAAACAAGAUGAAGUUCCGGUGCUUGCAGGGUUGUUUUAUUACUUGACUUUUGGCAUUUAUCAUAUCUGGAUAUGUAUUUGAUAAUGUCGUUACAUAUACCAUUCUAAAAAUAUGUUGCACUUAUUUUUGCUCUUCCAAGAUGUGCUCUUCGUAAAUCAUCAUGACAUGUUCUUAUAACCCUUUGUACUUCAUCUAUCUUAAAUACUUGAUGAUAAUUGAUUUUAUCUCCAUCAUUGUUUGUGCACUAAAAUACCAUCUUGUACGUGAAAUGGCUCACUCUUUUUCUAUACUUCUCUUUUUUCUUUUGAUAAUCUUUUUGGAUAGUUGCUUUCACUUGGUUACUGAUAGUAGAUUUUGUAAUAGUUUGAUAGUUGUCAUAGAGACUUUAGUCUCUAUCUAUCACCUUUUAACAACAUUAUGAAUGAAGAGACAUUAGAACAAUUAACAAUAUAAUAAAAAGGUUUUAUUUAUGACUAUGAUGCUUGGUUUCACAAUUCCUGUCAUUCUGCUUAGCCGCCGCUGAUUUAGAUGUAGUUUGGUAAUGGAAAGUUAAGGUCUUCCUUUAUGCCUGCCAGAGAAGUAAGUAGCUAUCACAUCGAUAGCAUCAUGGUGAAAAGUGCUUCGUGGAGGAGCGAGGUGUUGUCAUGUAGAAGGUCUGAGCUCAACUCACCGAGAUAAUGAAAGUAACUGCUUAAGUACAAAUUUUACUACGCAUGCGCAACUCGAGGGGCUUCCGGUGGUGAAGUCCCCUGCGCAUGCGCAGAAUAGUACUUCCUCAAUGGCGGCUAUAAUUUCGCGCCACUACAAUUUCAUAUGUUUUUGACUCCAUGUUGGGUAAAAAUAAGUAUUCAAGUAUUUGUCAAAUACAUUACAGACCAUCUCUGAUUCUAUAACCCUGUUGGCAGCCUAUCCCAGAUUCAUGUAUGAGCAGCUGUACAUUAUCUCAAAAGGUAGAGCUGCUGGAAAGAAAUGAAGGGCAUAUUCUUAUUCGAAGGAUUGAAUAUACCUAAAAUCAGAUCUAAAGCCUUAGGCACCAAAAAAUUUUUUUCAUUUGUUCCCCAGUGUAAUCUAAGGUUUUAAAAAAAUUAUUUUAAACUUUUAUUGUAUUAAAAAUUAAUUAUGAUACACUCUGUGGAUCACAUAAAGCACACAAUUUUAUUGCAUGUAGUACAUUCUAUGAUCAUAGAAUGUAUUACAUCUAAACCAAAUUAACAUGCAAUAACUAAAAUGUGCAUCCUUGAAAGCAAGGGUGCACAUUUACAAAAAAGACUUAUGAAAAAUGCUUUGGACUGGUGAAGGAUUAAAAAUAAUCAGUGGGUGGCAAGAAUGUUUUCUUUAUAUACCUAAGUUUUCCAUUGCAGAGAUGCACCGAACCAUAUAUUAAGUACUCUACUAAAUACUGCCAGUAUUUUUUUUUCUGCUAAGGAAUUUGUGGUGGGUGCUAAAAAUGUUACUUGGGCUUCUCAGAUGACUGAAGAUCAAUAUGUAAAUAAUUGGUAAUAAUCUCCAAACAAUAAUCAAUCAUUGUUUAUAUUUUUUUGAUAUAGUGGCUGAUCAAUGUUCAAGUUGUUGUUAACAUGUUUUCUUAUGAUAAAACUUGGGAUCUUAAAGGACUGUUGUUCUACAUAACACACCCAUUGAUCAGAGAUGUCUACAUGGUAAACCCUAAAUUGUCAUCUUCAUCAAUUAGAAACUGAUAGAUCCACAUACCAUUUUUUAAUAUCUUUUUUUGUAUUAUUGAUGUAAUGAUUGAGAGUGUUAUGAAGCUGAACAAUAUACUUAAAACAGGUAUCUUGUACUUUGUGGUUUGAAACAAAUUUUUCCAAAUAAAUACUUGAUUCAUGUCAUUUAUUAUUAUUUUUUAUUUUUGUUUUAUGUACCUGUACUAAAAAUAUGGGGCAUUGCACAUGUGCAAAAAAUAUUUCAAAUUUCAACACAAAUAUCUUCUUCAUGCAGCUAACUGAGAAUAAACAGCCUAGCAGGUACUUGGUUAAGUACCUGCUAGGCUGUUUAUUCCCAGUUUGUCCUUUUUUGUUUUUCCUGCUAAGAGCAAGUACAAAUAAACAUUUCUUUUUGUAGUAUUCCAAUUCACAUCAGUUUAUGUGGACCCAUGUUAGUUUCAUCAAUUUGAACAUUUUUAGUCUCUCCCAUUUAGAAACUCUUAUGUGCUAGGCUGUGUUGAUCAACAAAAAGUGUACAUAUGGCAUACUUAAAUGAUACUUCAGAAACAAAAAAUAAUAAUACAGUCUUAAUUGAUUGGAUCCAGUUGCAUUUGAUGCAUUUCCAUCAAAAUAUUUUACACCUUGGAUGUAUUUAUUGAAGGUAGCAGUUUUCUUGACUGCUUAUGUAUUUGUUCUCAUUAUUCAUAUCAGACAAUGACAGGCCGUCCACUUGGCAAAUUCCUGUUGAUUGACAGUUUCAUAUUCUCAUAAAUUAUAUUCAAUUUUAUUUAUUUUGGUCUAUCUGUUAAUUUUUAUUUGUAUUGUUCUCUACUUGAGUUGAAAUUUGAUUUUGAAAAAAUACAGGUUGAUUACAGUUGGAACAUUUUUGAUCAUUCUUUUUCUCAGUCAUGGUUGACUUGGGUUAAAUAUAUUGGUUCUGUUUGUGUUGAAAUUUGCAUAUUUUUUAGUAUGUUCACAAAAUAAAUUGGACUGUCAAAUAUUUGUUUUGGAAAAUGUUUUUGUUUCAAACUGUAAAGUACAAGAUACCCUUUCCAACAUGUUCAUUUGGAAACUUCAGUGAUUGCACAGAAAAAAAAAUUCAUACAGGCCUAACUUAUUCAAGCAAAACUUAUUUUUGGAAAAUCAGCUUCCUCUCUCAUUCAAUUUUUUAUGUUAUUAGAUACCUCGAAGAUACAAAUGUGCAUGAUAUCCCAAGUGUACAAUAAUGAUGUGUAUAUAUGUAUUUAUUAAUUACUACUGUCAUAGUUUGUCUUUUGUAGUGAUGUACUUUGGAUAGUAUCCAACUUAAACCCUCAAGUUCUAUACAACUCUUUGCUGAUUACUUUUCAUAGCAUAUUUUGCAAGUUUUCACAAUACUACUUUGUCACAUUUUUGCAAGACCUGCUUUUCAAAACUCUAUUUUCCAUUGUUAAGGUCAGACAUUAAUUGACACUGUGCUCUAGGAGAUUCUUGUGCUAGUAAAAAAAUGGGAGCAUUACCCUUUCACACCUGGGUCUCUAUCAUACAUACCUACAUCAAGGGCAAGACCCCUGACUACUUGAGAGGGAACGUUUAUGUGGUUUCCCAACUUGACUAUCAGCCUGAUCUCCCUCAGGUCUCAACAUCUUGAAAAGAAAGAACAUUGGAUAAUUUGGAAUAUAUGAACUGUGUGUUAUCUAUAUAUCUAGUGAAGCAUGUCUUCCUUGCAAUGAGCACACUCAACACUGCUAAGUUAGAUGUCACUCUUGAUAGACUUUCUAACAAUAUAUUGACCACCUGGAAGGAACCUCAUGAGCUAACGAAAGUACUUCUAAGCUUGACUUGUUUAUGUAACAACUGGAUUUAAAUCUUAUGUCUCCCAACUGUCUUCUGAGCUGUAACCUUGUUGCACAACUGGGAAUACCAACAAUUUGGUUGAGAUGACCAUAGUUGAAACAUCAACCAAAUGAUGAAAUUCAGCAUAGGCUAUCAUACUAGAUACUCUAUUUUCCCUCAGUCUGUGUUGCAACUAGCAAAAACAGAUUCACAUUCGAUGCAGUCUACCAAAAAAUACUGGCUGUUACCAUGAAAAGCCAGCUUUGCCAAGGAUAUGGAGUCCAUGUUGGUUAUCAACACAAAGGAAUAUAACCCAAGAAAUCACAGGUGAACUUAACUGCAUAUCAGAAACAUUGGCCCUGACUCUUCUGUGGACUCAACUUUACACGAAGGUUACAGUCCACUUUAUAUUGUGACCAUAUACAAAAUACAAAGAAAUUGAAUUCAAUGUCUAUCAUCAUAAUGAAUUUAAGUAAGCUCACAACUUCUUUUUCCAGUUCUAUAUAAACAAACCGAUGGCUUGAACUUGGAAUCUUCAACCUUCAUAGUUGUACACCAUCACAUUCCGGUUCAUUCUUCAAUAUUAAGCAUUGGACCAAGAAGAGAUAUUUUCUUUUCAGUAGAAAUAUGGGAUCCUUAAACUUGUGCUGCCACCUGAAUAUAAACUAUCAUCAUCACCCAAACUAUGAUAGUUAAUCUAUCCAUGAAUAUAUGAACUGUUGUGUUUGUAUAAGAUUGUUCACUGAAGCUAUGACCAUGUAUACAAUUACAAACUUUAUAGAAAUCCCUUUUAUCUAGCAGCAUCAUUUAUGUCCCCUUAAAGUGAUCUUUUUUUUUUAUGUCACUUUGGUUCCAGAGUCAAUAAAAGAAAAAAACCCCAAAUGAUAUGAAAUACCUUUUGUUCAGAAGCUAUUUGUCUUAGAACCACUGCUGACAGUUGUACAACAACAGAAGAAAACUGCUUCCAGCAUUUGUAUAAUUAUAGUAUCAGUAAUAUUUAUUCAGAAGAUAGAAACUACUAUCAACAGUUUUACAACUACCAGAAUCUCAAUUUGCAAAACAAGUGAAAAAAUCAGUUAACAAAAAUGACAAUAUAAAUAACAUCUUUUUCCUUCUUGUAAUUUUAUUUAUGCAUGUGUACCAUUAUAUUAUUUUUAUACCAAUUAUUACAUAGUGGUAAAGUCAUUUCACCAGAUGCUGAGCCUACUGACAAAUGAUAAACAGCUGCAACAAGUGGUCACAUUCUAUACAACAGACUUCAUCCAAGCUAUGCAAGCAUGGAAAAAUAUACAUUAUUAUCACUAUAAUGUUGACUGAAGAAAGUAUUAUAAUAUAUUACUAGGAAGUUGUUUCUUGGCAUAAGACUUCUACAGAUAUCUCUCAGAAUACUGCAACAUCUGCCACAUUUGUGUCUAACAUGAAUUGUAAUAUUUAGAUCAAGGAUUGGCAACUGUAUUUUUACAUCUGCAAGGGAGAUUGUGUACCAUCAAGUGAACAGUGGACCAGAUAAAUACUAACAACAAUUUGAAAUAUGGAAAUUAUCCAUUGAAAUAUAUCUAAUUGUAUUUUUCAUCAGAUUAGUUCAUGACACACGCUAGGGAAUCAUGUUUGGUGGUGAAAAAGAAAAUUAUAUAGUUGUAAUGUAAACAGUAGACAGCUGUGAAAUUUGAUGGUGUUUGUUACUUGAAAGUUUUUUUUAAUAUUAGGUGCCAGGCUUGUCAAUGCCUACAGCAAGACAUCCAAGUAGGUAUUAGUCAGUUUGGUUCUCAAAUGGUUUCUGACGUGUUCCCAUUUUUGAAAAUAUAUGCUCAACACAGGUAAGUGUUGCCAAAUAAUGAUUUUUUUUUUUUGUAUGAGUAACUAACUUAGGAUACUUGCCACUUGAAUCUUGGAUGGAUAGAAUUUCUAUAGAAAGACAAAUGCCAAUACAUCUUCAGUAUGAAAUUUAAAUCUCAGAUGUCAUCAUAUUGCCUCUUAAUCAAUUCAAUUUGAUAAUUUUCUGAUACUGUGUCCAAUAUCAGAUGGUGUAGCAGACAUUGAGUGAAAAUUCAGCUAACAAGAAAAAUAUUCUUUCCUUAAUUCUUGGACCAUAUUCAUAAAAAUGCUUGGAUCUUGUACUUUACUUUUUUUUUUUAAAUUGGGGAAAUAUUUCAAUUUGUCUAUUAAAUACAACAAUUUAACCAAACAUCUUAAAAGGCAGGGUUUUUUAAAAAUUCCUUCAUAAAGUUAUUAAAAUUAUCCACAAUAAGUGUCACAAUAAUAUGAAACAUCUUUGCUCUCAAGAAAUAUUACCAUUUCUUCAUUCAAUGAAAAUUCUUUUCCCAUCAAUGACUAUCAGCUUAGCCAAUGUACAUUGAAGAGAAGUAAGCCAGGUCUCCAUAUUCUGCCUCUAUGUCCAACAUAAUGUGUUGAAACAGGUAAUGAUUUAACCAAAAGAUAAAGUUUUGUCAACAAUGUCCACAUAUUGUAACACGUGAUUCUUCUAAUUUCUUGUUAUUGCAAGAAGUCAUAUGACAUACUUGUCAAUGUGAAAACUGUUCUCUUAGCAUGUCUUUUAAUUGCCAAAUCUGAAGGGGGUUUACUACAAGGCAAAAAGUGAAAGGAGUGAUUAGUCAUAAAUAUCCCUUACUAAGCAUAAAAAGGUUGGUAGUCCAGAAUCCAUGCUGCGUUUGUUUCUUAGUCGGGGUCACCAUUUUAUAGGUUGGUGGGUUAUUAGUUAUAGGUUGGUAGUCCAGAAUCCAUGGCCGCGUUUUUUCUUAGUCGGGGUCACCACUUUAUAGGUUGGUAGUCCAGAAUCCAUGGCUGCGUUUUUUCUUAGUCGGGGUCACCACUUUAUAGGAAAGUGUUAAAUAGCUCAGCGGGCUGCGUGUUUGAAUCACGUCGGAGGGUCACCACUUUAUAGAAAGUGGGUUAUACAUCAUUAGAUGUACACCUGACUUUCCUAUAUUAAAUUAAGAAUUAACGGCAACGCAGAUUAUCAACACAAACAAUAUUUAUUCAUGGUGGAAAAUAUACAUCUUUAAUCUUGUUUGUUGAGACGUCUUCGGUGUGUGAGAACAUGGUUGUUGGGACGUUGGUAUAUUGAUGUGAGCUGUCUAGCGUGAGUUCGAAAGAUGGAGAGACAGCUAGACACGUCCUUGCUCAAUCGCUGGCCAGCAAGAAAGAGACAGAAUGAAGCAAGAAAGCUUGGAUGUUGAAUUCCACGCAUGCGCACGGCGUUAUUAUAAUCUUGUUUGAGCAGAUAUUUGACAUGGAUUUCUUGUUAAAAAACAUUGUAACUGUUUCUAAUUAUAAAUUUGAACAAUACCAUCUGAAAACACUUAUAGUCUUACUUAAUGCAUAUUAAUAAGGUGGUCUUAAUGGGCUUCAUAUAAACCAGUGUUUGGUUUGGAACAUUGAUAUUAUACAUUUGUCAUGUCAUAUACUAUCAUUUCUUACCAUAAGUUUAUUUGAAUUUUUUGUUUUUUAGAAAUUACAAUCUACUUUUUUUUUUUUUUUUGGGGAAAACAAAAAGGAAUCUUUCAUCAAAAAUAAAAUGCUUAACCAAAAACAUUCAAGUUAUAUAUGUUCUUUUACUGACAUGCAAACUUAUCAUUUCAUCUGACAAUCUAUAUCAGCCUCUUUGCUCACAAUGUGUCCGCCAUCACUAACAUCCCCAAGCCAUCAGAUUAUUAACAUUAAUCUCUCCUGUUAAAGCAGUGUAACCAUUAGCUUGUACUCUGUUUUCAGGUUUCUCACAGCAUAAAAUACAUCAGCUGUCUUGACAGUACAGCCUAACACUUUGUUAUUGAACAGAAUAACUUUCUGUGGCUAUUUCAUCAGUUGGAGUUGUGUGUGUCAUAUAUCAAAAUAGAGAUAUAUUUAAGAUCAGGUAUCAUUAGAACCUUUGUCAAUAAGAUCAGGUAUCAUUAGAACAUUUGUCAAUUAGUGAUGCUAUACUGAUGCAAGAACAUUGAAAAUAUUUCUGGACAAGGCAGAUGUACUAUACUAUAUUCAGAACAGCUAAUUCUACAUAGAUAACAUUUUCCCUUGCAAUUUUCCCUUCAUAUUCUGAGUUACAAUUCUUAUCUAUAACUUGAAGAAUUAAAAUGAAUGGCAAUAAUUAAGAUAGAACAGAAACAAGAUAGAAUAAAACCUUGUUCACAUGUCUGACCCAUACUAGAUCAGUUGUAAAAUGGACAUAAUUUGGGAAAUCAUUCUGCAGUACCCAAGAUGUUUUGUGCUUCUUUAAGUCCAUUGUGUCAGCUCUCACCUAUUUUUAAUUCUUUUUUAACACAUUAUUGUCCAAUACAAAUGGUCAAUCAAUUUUAUUAAAGCAACUGUGUAACUCCAGGAAGUUAUUUUAGAACUGUGAUCAGUUGCUACUAAUUCUUCAGUUUAUUUUGCUAGGGCUUUUUUGCUGUGUCAGUGAUUCCAUCUUUUUUUUUAAAGUAAUUCAGUGAUCACUGGUAGAGAAUGAAAAAGGUGUGUCAUGUAUCCUUAAAUCGUUUUGGGUGACUUCCUUAAUGAGGCCAGAGUAAUUCUUGUGGGUAAUUAACCUAAUUUUCAUUUGGAAAUUGCUAAAUUCCCUGGUCAGUAGGUUCUAUUUAUUGGGAAUUUUAAUGCUUGUGUAAUGCAUUAUUUUUGUUCAAAUAACACAUGAGAAAGUAACUAAAUUGUCAAGGCUGAUUUUUCAAACUUGAGUUCAUGGAGAAAACAGUAACUUUAGUGGUUAUCAAAAUGCUCAGACAUAAUCUUAUGCACUUUCUUCCUGUUCAAAUAAAAUUACUGAUUUUAAAAUAUAUCUAUGUAUUUUAUUCUACAAUUAGAAAAUUAUGCAUGCACCUCAACACAUUUUCUGAAGCUCUUAUAGUCUAUGUUUCUUUCACUCAAUCUAUGUAUUUGUUGGUGAUAAGUUAAACUACCAUUCUCAGAGAAUUCUUUACUGCAAAUAUCACAGUAGUAUGGUUUUUUGCAUGUGUGAAUACAUUUGUGGAAAGAUAAUUACAGAAUUUUAUUUAAUGUCACUACUGCCAUGGUGUACACAUUGUAUCACAGAUAUCACUCUUUGUCGUUAAUUGCAAGACAUGACAAAUUACCUAAAAAUUCUCAUAGAAUCUUUGCAGCAAAUACAUUUGAAUAUAUUAUUAGCAAAUUUCACAAAGGAGAAAAUUUGAACUUGUAAUUUAUGUUCAAUGAGGUAAAGAAUGUUUUGGAAGGCUUUUUUUUUUUUUUUUUUUUUUUUUUUUUUUUUUUUUCAGUUUAGAGGAAGCAUGGUAACAUGACCUAUUUAUAGGACUUCUGAGAUUGGCAGGGUGAAAUUGUUGAUAUCCGAAGACUGGAGAUUUGGUCAGAGUGUUACAAAUGUAUUCAGUCCUGAUGUUGAUAAGAUAAAUCACUAUUUUCAGACCAUGUUUUGGCAUGAUGUCAACUCUUAAAGUCUCUCUACUAUUAUUUCUUCAGUACAGAAGUAUUUCCUGUGUUCUGUAUUUUGUAAUUUCCACAACACCAGUGAAUAUGCAAUCUUGAGUUUAAUUGCCAUCACACUACAAUGUAUUAUUCCACAGUUAUUAAUGUUUCUGUCAUAUAAAAUGAUAUUUUAUGUGUUAUGAAGGAAGAUAAAAUAUGGUCAAUAUUUUCUACUCUAAUAACUGGCUUAUUUCAGAGAUAUAGAAAUUUUAUUCCAAAUUUUUGUCUUCUAAGAUGUCAAAUAAAUGGGUUACAGUUCUUGAAGUAUAUCCAGAUGUAAAAUAUAUGAUUCAGCUAUAACCUAUUCUUUUUUUUUUUCUUUCUUUUCUUUGAGAUACUACCACAUAUAACUUCAGUAACUAAAUGUCUCAUGCGUUGAAUGACUUUCAUUGUUAAUUUUUCAUGUUUAAACAUCUCACAAUCAUCCAGAAGUCUUUUUUUUUUCUGCCAUAUGGAAUUGUCUUUGUAAUUAAUUUGUAAUUAAUUUUAAAUCUUUAAAAUCAAUUUUAAUAAAGCCUUAUAAAUUA